GGCCCAUCAAAGGUCACUCUCCAGACCUCCAUGGCUUCCUUCACAGUUGAGGUGACUACUUUCUUCACACAAAUCCAUCUGUAUUAGUACAUUUUUCAUGCUCUACUGUUAUAUUUUUUUUCCUAAUUGAUGAAACAAAAAUUCAUGAAAAUAUGGUAGAUGUACUACGACUAUGCACCCAAGACUUGCAAGAACUUCAUAGAGUUGGCUCGCAGAGGCUAUUACGAUAACGUCAAAUUCCACAGAAUCAUUAAGAUCUCUUUGUUUGUAUAGCUAAUCGCUAUUCAUAUUUGUAUAUGUAAACAUUUCUAAUUUUGAACUGAUAAUUUUUAUGUGAUAUUGGAGUUCAGGAUUUUAUAUUGCAAGGUGGGGAUCCAACUAGGAUUGGCAGGGGUGGCAAAUCAAUUUAUGGGUAUUUUUUUUAAUAAAAUGUAUUUUUUAAUUUUAGAGUGUGCCUUGCAAUUGGUUAUUUUGAAAUUAAUGUUUUCUUUUGGUUCCAAAUACUUCUCAUUUAUGUAGGAUUUUUAUAGAUCACCCUUUUAUGGUGUGGUGAUGGUGGUGCAGUGAAUCUAGGUAGGACGACGGUGUUGGUGAUGGUAGCGACGGUGCUUACAUUGGCAGGGGUGAUUGUGGUUGUGGUGUUUUGGAGAUGAAUGGCUGGUGACGGUGUUGAUGGCGUGGUUGAAUUGUUGGUGGUGUAGGUGCUAGCGCGAUGUUGCUACAAUGAUGGUAAGUCGGUGCUUGGUUUCAAUGGUGUUGGUAGUAUUUGUGUCCAAUUAUAUAUGUUGUUCGGUUGGUGCCAUCAUGGUGGCAAUUUUGGUGGUGUGUGUUGGUUUGUUUUUGUCGGGAGGGGAUGGCAGCGGCGGCGACGAUUGUGAUGGUGUUGUGGCCGGGAUGGUGUUGUGGCCGGGAUAGUGUUUGUGACCAGGUAUUAUGGUGGAUCGGGAUUGGGUGUUUGGCGUCUGUGACCAACUAUUUGGUCCUCUGUGACUGUAUUAAUCCUUGACUUUAAGAUUCUAUCAUUUUGUAACUAAAAAAGUAAUCUGUGAAUAUCAAAUUUAAAAAUAUGUGACAUGUGACUUAUAAUUUUUUUAAUUUGUGACCAUUUGUAACCUAUAAUUUUUUUUAUCUGUGAAUUCGAAAUAAUCUGUGACGUAUCAAAAUUUUGAUUUCUGAGCUCGAAAAAAUCUGUGACAAUUAAUUUAAUGAUAUGUGACCAGCAAAUAAAUAUGUGACUUUAUUAUCAUUAUUUAAUAAAUAUUUUUAAUUAAUUAGUUAAAACCAGAUUUUUGCAUUAAUGAAACUUGUAACCUGAAUUUUGAAUUAUGCAUAGUUAAAAACAUGAUUUGUGAACUCUUCCCUUUUUUCUUUCUGCUUGUUACUUGUUGUCUUCAUCUUCUCCUGUCUGUUUGGAGAUGGCGUUCCAGGUUCAGAAACGUCCUGUAGAGAAGAAACUGAGACUUCAACAUCUCCUCCUCUUCUUUGGUUGUGCCUCUAUGUUGCAGUCCCAGACCUUCAAGAUUUCUUUUAAUGGCUGCCUUCGGAUUAAUCAGUAACGCCACAUCUUUCGGAAUUGCCUCCAGUGAUUAAGUACUCCACUGCUCUUUCCAGUCCAGGUUAGCAUUGAAGUUCCGUUUUCAAUUCCUUCAGCUUCUUCUCUAUUGCUUCUACUCUGACUUCUAUCUUCUUCUCGGCCAUUAGAUCGAAUGUGCUCUGAUACCACUUUGAUAUAACUUCGCAAGAAGAAAAUAAGAAUAGAGAAUAUCGAGAAUAUUGAUUGUAUUGCAUAAGAACAAUUACAAUAGAUGAACUUAUAAAACUUGGUCACACUCAAUAUUUGCCUACUCUACUGAGCCUCCCUCCCCUCUUAUUUGUAGCAAUUAUUCCCUAACUACUUUUCCCCCCAUUUGCCAUGUAAUUGCUGUUAUUCCCCCUUCUUCUAGUUGCUUCUCACUCCUUGUUUCAUCUAGAAUGAGCGAGGUGGAGGGAGCCUAUUUCUUGUUUGGUGUGCAACGAGGGUGUCUUGGUCACUCACCAGACACCAUAAAUGCCUGGCAUGUAGUGUUUGAUUGGAAGUAUCAACAAUGACGGACGUAGACAUUUUAAAUUAGGGGCAACAAUCAAACUUGCAAAAAAGUUGUGGCCAAUUUGCCAACCAUAGGCUCGAAUGUAGUUACUCCACAUUAAUGUAUUGAAAUUCUCAAUUAUCUUUUUUUAAAUCUAUCAUUCUCAUGGCUUGACAAUUGUGGCAAUUCAGACUCAUAUUUUAUGCUACUGUAAAUUAUGUAUUUCUGGAUUAAUUCCUAGUGAAAACAAAUAUAAUAGCUCGUGGAU
This 2334-nucleotide long non-coding RNA is filed under the name Olea europaea subsp. europaea. The record is from RNAcentral. Lineage: Eukaryota; Viridiplantae; Streptophyta; Magnoliopsida; Lamiales; Oleaceae.